This 497-nucleotide ribosomal RNA is filed under the name uncultured bacterium. Its description in RNAcentral is "partial 16S ribosomal RNA". It matches the Rfam family "Bacterial small subunit ribosomal RNA", at positions 28 to 507 of the family's 1533-position model. The record is from RNAcentral.
GAUGAACGCUGGCGGCGUGCCUAAUACAUGCAAGUCGAGCGAACGGACGAGAAGCUUGCUUUUCUGAUGUUAGCGGCGGACGGGUGAGUAACACGUGGAUAACCUACCUAUUAGACUGGGAUAACUUCGUGAAACCGGAGCUGAUACCGGAGAAUAUUUUGAACCGCAUGGUUCAAAAGUGAAAGACGGUCUUGCUGUCACUUAUAGAUGGUUCCGCGCUGCAUUAGCUAGUUGGUAAGGUAACGGCUUACCAAGGCAACGAUGCAUAGCCGACCUGAGAGGGUGAUCGGCCACACUGGAACUGAGACACGGUCCAGACUCCUACGGGAGGCAGCAGUAGGGAAUCUUGCGCAAUGGGCGAAAGCCUGACGGAGCAACGCCGCGUGAGUGAUGAAGGUCUUCGGAUCGUAAAGCUCUGUUAUUAGGGAAGAACAUAUGUGUAAGUAACUGUGCACAUCUUGACGGUACCUAAUCAGAAAGCAACGGCUAACUACGUG